UACGGAGGGAGCAAGCGUUACUCGGAAUUACUGGGCGUAAAGGGCGCGUAGGCGGUCUAUCAAGUCUUGUGUGAAAGCCCCAAGCCUAACUUGGGAAGUGCACAAGAAACUGGAAGAAUAGAGUUCCGGAGAGGAAGAUGGGAUUCCCGGUGUAGCGGUGAAAUGCGUAGAUAUCGGGAGGAACACCAGUGGCGAAGGCGAUCUUCUGGACGGAUACUGACGCUGAGGCGCGAAAGCUAGGGGAGCAAACAGG
RNAcentral lists this ribosomal RNA (253 nucleotides) under uncultured bacterium. RNAcentral's name for it is "partial 16S ribosomal RNA". It matches the Rfam family "Bacterial small subunit ribosomal RNA", at positions 524 to 776 of the family's 1533-position model. The record is from RNAcentral.